RNAcentral lists this long non-coding RNA (461 nucleotides) under Pan troglodytes (chimpanzee). Its description in RNAcentral is "long non-coding RNA NONPTRT017911". The record is from RNAcentral. Lineage: Eukaryota; Metazoa; Chordata; Mammalia; Primates; Hominidae.
CUGCUUUUCCCUGGCUGCCCAUCAGUUGGCGCCUUUUGCCGUCCUUUUUCCCCAAGCCGCUUUGGGGGCCGCGGUCUCUCCGCAGCUCGCGGGUCACAUGGCCCGCCUGAGCAAGGGGAGCCCUGCGCCUGAGCUGCGAGGCGGGAGGAGGUGAGGCUCCGGCGCACACCCAAACCGCGCUGCGCCCGCUCCUUCCGGGCCCCGGAGAUGGCGCCUCCACCGGGAUGAGCUAGCCAGCCUGGGCAAUACCAGAGGCGGCCCUCGGCGCGCGCAGGGGACCGAGCUGAUCGCCCCAACCGGGUUUGAUUUCUGAUGACUCUGGCCUGAGUUCCAGGAUGGUUUUUUCUUGGGACCAGACAUGAACAAAAGUUGACCUCAUGAGCACUUCAACCUCUCCAGCUGCCAUGCUCCUCCGGAGGCUGCGGCGACUCUCCUGGGGCAGCACUGCUGUCCAGCUCUUC